RNAcentral lists this long non-coding RNA (1331 nucleotides) under Elaeis guineensis (African oil palm). Its description in RNAcentral is "long non-coding RNA (EGUI_LNC035288)". The record is from RNAcentral. Lineage: Eukaryota; Viridiplantae; Streptophyta; Magnoliopsida; Arecales; Arecaceae.
UCUCUCUCUCUUUGCUCUCCGAUUAUCUACUGAUUUGAGCAUAAGAGGAUUCCCGUCCUCCGUAAGCAUUUUUGAUCAAGGAAUUUAUUUGUAGGUUCAAUCUCCACUGAUCGGACCAUCACCCACUUCAGCUCAUUCCAAUCCUGGCUAACCUCAACCUCAGCUCGAUGCCCAUCGAACCUGCCAACCUCGGGGCCAGCUCAGUAAUCAGCAGCAACAAGCACUUUUGUUAAUAUAGUAGCUCAUGAUUUGCCUACUAAUCCUUGAGCUGGUUUGAUACUUGCUUCUUGAAGUGGGAAUCAGGUCAGAUUCCUCUUGAGGUGGUUCAGCAACGAACACUGCUUUAGUACAGGAGGUGUUGCGAUCAAUGCUGUCUUGUGCCACUACGGCGUUCAAGUGGCAAGGUCUAGCCUAGUGGAUGGAGCAUUUCGGUGCUCUUAAACUAUCCAGUCUAGAACGCCGGGAUCCUACCAUAUUAUGUGAUUGAUGCUACUACUCUUGUUUAUGUAAACUUUGUCCAUAGAAAAUAAAAUGAUUCUAGUAGCAAGCAUCUGUCCACAGAAAAUGAAACUAAAAUAAUUCUAGCAUCCACGGAAAAUCAAAUAAUUCUAAGCAUGCACACAAGCAUGCCCGCCCCGGAAGAAGGGUAAAAUUAUGCAGGCAUGCCUUUGCAUAUUUAUUUAUAUAUUACAUGAAUUUCAUAUCUCCAUGCCAAUAAUUAUUAAAUCAACUAGUUGAUACUGCAAUUUAAAUUCAUAAUGUGACCUGACUGAAAUUUCAUUGCAUCUAGUUAAGAACAAUAGACAAUUCAUGUACAAACACAGUAACCUAAUUACCUGAGCUAAGGCAUGCAUAAAAUUGAAACUUUAGAUCAAUCAAGGAAUCUAGCAAACAGUGUACAACAUAAGAUAUUUGUAUUUGACAUUUUCUAAGCUUUAUUCUGCAACUAUUCCUAUCAUCCCAAUUUUUCAGAUAAUUUGCAACCCCAUUUGCCCUACAAUCACUAUCUUAUCAUUGAAGAAGUGGGUUGAUAGCAGGUAUUCCCUCACCUAUCAUCAAAAAAUGUAUACAAUUUCUAGUGGUUAAUCUACCACGCCUUUUUGCAUAUUUAACUAUUCACAUUACAGAAUACCAGAUACUGCUGUCUUCUCAUAGAUGCUAUACAGAUAAUAACUGCAAUACAAACCCUCACAUGGAUUUUAGUGAAGUUUCAUGCAGAAUUGCUAUUAAAAAAGGGAGGGAAGGACCACAUAUCACUUGGAGACAGAAUUUCUCUCAAGUAAACUGGCUUUAGUUUCCCCUUUCAAUGGAUUUUAAACAAGCUCAUACUG